GAUUUGGUUUUGCUAUAGAGCGUUUGUGUGAGCGGGAGCUCGUGCUAUCAAUGUGACGAAUUGGAAUUUUUCGCAUUACCUUCAGUUGGCAGUCACCCAACGUAAUAUAUCUACAAUCAGUUACAUACGGCUACAGUAGCAUAUCAUUAAGUUUUCUCUAAACACCAACCUUGACAAGCAAAAAGCUACACAUCGGACCAAGAAUAACGCGAAAGCAUUGGAUCCAAUUUCAUCGGAAUAGGAUAUCGAAACCCUUCUCGCAAUGUAACGUACACGGCGCAAAAGGCAAAGGGGUGAUGGCCUGGCCAUCGUCCUACUCGCAAUUGGAUCCGAGCCAAACAAGGACGCCUUUGAGUCACCAUCACGCGUCGCGUCGUAAGGAAAGCCUGGAACCUGAACCCCUUGGCAUAAUCGUACGUCUCGAGGGUGGAUCCGAUGUCCCGCUUCGUUUACCCCGGCCCCGUAUAACCCACUCCGACUGCGACGACGGCUGUUAUUUUAUCCCGUUUUCGGAAUAAAUUUACAUUUUCCGUAACAAGCAUCAGGGCAAGUUGAAGCCAGGAAAAAAAA
This is a long non-coding RNA of Aedes aegypti (yellow fever mosquito), 570 nucleotides long. RefSeq lists it as uncharacterized. The record is from RefSeq and is a predicted model, not a curated record. The transcript is spliced from 2 exons. Lineage: Eukaryota; Metazoa; Arthropoda; Insecta; Diptera; Culicidae.